RNAcentral lists this ribosomal RNA (389 nucleotides) under uncultured bacterium. Its description in RNAcentral is "bacterial SSU rRNA". It matches the Rfam family "Bacterial small subunit ribosomal RNA", at positions 30 to 421 of the family's 1533-position model. The record is from RNAcentral.
AUUGAACGCUGGCGGCAUGCCUUACACAUGCAAGUCGAACGGCAGCGCGGGGCAACCUGGCGGCGAGUGGCGAACGGGUGAGUAAAAUAUCGGAACAUACCCUAGAGUGGGGGAUAACGUAGCGAAAGUUACGCUAAUACCGCAUACGCACUAAGGUGGAAAGUGGGGGAUCUUCGGACCUCAUGCUCAUGGAGUGGCCGAUAUCUGAUUAGCUAGUUGGUGAGGUAAAGGCUCACCAAGGCGACGAUCAGUAGCUGGUUUGAGAGAACGACCAGCCACACUGGAACUGAGACACGGUCCAGACUCCUACGGGAGGCAGCAGUGGGGAAUUUUGGACAAUGGGGGCAACCCUGAUCCAGCAAUGCCGCGUGAGUGAAGAAGGCCUUCGG